RNA transcript from Anopheles merus, 3531 nucleotides. It is a transcript of the gene named isocitrate dehydrogenase [NAD] subunit gamma, mitochondrial, with no coding region annotated. The transcript has 6 exons. NCBI's taxonomy places the organism in Eukaryota, Metazoa, Arthropoda, Insecta, Diptera, Culicidae. The record is from RefSeq and is a predicted model, not a curated record.
UUAUUGAUGUUGGUAGCUCACGUUCUCUGUCGCUGUGAAAAACACCGCUGCAUCCAGUUUUCCCAUCGUAUCACUAUUUCGUGCAAACCACCCCCAGAGAAAGUGUACACGAAAUCGCUACGAUGGCGCUCCGACUGUUCCGCAUGAGCCAGGAUGUGGUUACGCCACUGAUCAAACGUAACUGCACCGUGUCAGCGUUUGAGCUCCAGCACAAGAACCCCGUCCAGCGGAAGGUGGAGCAGAUCCCGAAAGCGCAGUAUGGCGGGCGGCACACGGUGACGAUGCUGCCGGGCGGCGGAAUCGGCCCGGAGCUGAUGAGCUACGUGCGGGAGGUGUUCCGGUUUGCCGGCGUGCCGGUGGACUUUGAAAUCGUCGACAUCGAUCCGGCCAGCGAGGGCAAUGACGAUCUCGAGUACGCCAUCACCUCCAUCAAGCGUAACGGCGUGGCGAUCAAGGGUAACAUCGAGACCAAGUCCGAGGCGACCGGCAUCCUGUCGCGUAACGUCGCCCUGCGCAACGAGCUCGAUCUGUUCGUGAACGUGCUGCACUGCAAAUCGUUCAACGCGAUCCCGGCCCACCACCAGAACGUGGACGUGGUGAUCGUGCGGCAGAACACCGAGGGCGAGUACGCCAUGCUGGAGCACGAGAGUGUGCGCGGCGUGGUGGAAAGCAUGAAGGUGGUCACGAUCGAGAAUGCGGCCCGCGUGGCCCGGUUUGCGUUCGAGUUCGCGAAGAACAACAACCGCAAGAAGGUGACCACCAUCCACAAGGCGAACAUUAUGAAGCUGGCCGACGGGCUGUUCCUGAAGGUGGCGCGCGACAUCGCGAAGGAGUAUCCGGACAUCCAGCACAACGAUAUGAUUAUCGACAACUGCUGCAUGCAGCUCGUAUCGAACCCGCACCAGUUUGACGUGAUGAACACGACCAACCUGUACGGCAGCAUUACGUCGAACGUGCUGUGCGGGCUGGUCGGUGGUGCCGGCCUGUUUUCUGGCCGUAACUAUGGUGACCACUACGCCGUGUUUGAACCGGGCACUCGUAACACUGGCACGGCAAUUGCCGGCAAGAACGUUGCCAAUCCGGUCGCCAUGCUGAACGCGGCGGUGGACAUGCUGUACCAUCUGGGUCACCGCUACCAUGCCGACUGUAUCUCGGACGCGCUGCACAAAACGAUCGACAUCGAUGGAAUCCACACGCCCGAUCUUGGCGGUAACAACACGAGCACCGACAUUGUCCAGAACGUUCUGAAGCAUCUGGCCGAGAAGAGAACGUACUGGAGUGUUAUAAAGGAAAAUUGAACACAAACAAAGGGAAAGCAACGUCAAUAACACGGCAUGUGGCAUGCAUCAUCGGCUGCGGAUGAUACCAAGAACAGCAAAACACAUUAUUAGCACGAUCGAUGUGAAGCAAACGCAAUUAGAACUAAUAGAGGAAAAAGGGUGUUAAACCACGCUUUGUUAAGCCGGUCAGCUGUUUGCAAACAGCGAUUGAUAUUCGAAAACUCAAGCUUGCCGCCCGUGACAAUAUGGUUCCCGGCGUAUGCGUAUAUCUGAGAAGUUAGGUUAGAACCGAAAAAACAAACACCCCAAACACCCCUAAACCAAAGCCAAAAUAGUUCCUUUCCAAGCGCAAAUCCUUAAACUUUCAUCCCGUUUGUAACUGUUUAACUGUUAUUUCCGAUCCCGAUUCCCGUUCUCUUUCCCUUUUCGGUCUGUAACAUCUGACUCACACAUACACACACACUUGCCAACAGCUCCUAAUCUCCCCCCCCCCGCAACUCGGUGUGUUGUUUUGUUGUGAGGGGGCAUUCUUUCGGUGGAUGGGCCAUUCCUUUCUUUCCCCUUUGCGAGACGAGGAAACACACCUUCAAAAUCAUGCAACAAACAAACACAAAACAAAACCCCAUCAGGAAGCAUAAUGCUGUGAAGCUAGACGAUCAAACCGUGCGCGGUGUGUGCGUAGGUGAGGAAGCAGAGCGUUUGAGAAUGUUUUGGACCAGUUGGCAAAAUUAGGUAAAAAAGUAAAGGUAAUCGGCAAACAAAUAUGGAAAACACAAUAUAAAAGCUCAAAAUUUGGCGUAAAACAAACAAAAAACAAAACCCCGAGAUUCUCUGUUUCCAAAUCUGUGUCCACCCAUGGGACCUUUCACCUGCUCAUUUCCAUCAUGUUCGGGGGCUGUGGGAACGGUAGUUGUUGGCCGCGACCAACAACUGCCUCAUCAUCAUCAUCAUGCGUUGGUACACACACCUUCCAGUAAUGACCGUCUGCGUAUCUUGUUGUUCGUUUUCGUUAUGUUGUUUUGGUACAUUUUCUGUAGUUUCUUUCGUUGCACUCUGUGUGCGUGUGUGAUCUAUUUUUUUUUUAUUUAAUCCGUCCCGUGUGUCCCCUAUGAUCAAUGAUAGCAUCGUGAAAGCGAUCAUUUAAUCUUUGCAAUCAAAUAUUUAACAAUGUUUUACCCUGUUACCCCGAAUAACGCCCCCUCCUGAUCGGGCUCCAGCCUGAAGUGUUAGUUAACAAAGUAGAGCCAGUUUGAUAUAAGCUACCGUGUGGAAAAGACAUGUUUGCUCAUCAUUCUGCGACGAUAAUUGAUCAUUAUUGUGCGUGUUUGUCGAUCAUUCAUCCCCUGGUUCCUGUUACGGUUUGUUUGAACGCCAAUUGUGUGGGCGUGUGGGAUUUUUGUGUCGUGACGGCAGACGAUUUAUGACGCCUCUGCUCACUGUCUUGGUUUUACGACGUUUUGUUUAUACCUUAUGUACCAAUUUGUAAUUGGAAAAGUGAGCUUGUGUUGUAUCCUUCGGAAGUUUCAAAAUUUGAAUUUUUCAAAAUGAAUUUGCAACCGAUUUGCGAGAACCUAUUGGCACGUUUAGUAUCAGUUUGGCAAGGAACGCUCGGUAACUACCACAAAAUUGUUUUUGCUCACUUUUCUGUGCAAUUAUGACUCUUUAUUUGAUUUUCUCUUUAUUUUGAUACAUUUCUUUUCUUAUGUUUUGUAUUUGAACUUAUUGUAAAAAAAAACCAAAAAAAUACAUCCACAAUCCACCAACGAAAAAUCGUACCCCUACCGAACGCGGAAACGAAUGCACAGAGAAGAGCGCAUACGGGAUCCCAAACGCCGAGGGAUGAGCUGGCGAGCAUCAAGAGUGUAAGAGAAAGUGGAGCGCGGAAUUGGAAAUGAUCGGUGUUGCCUUAUUUACGUUAGAUUAGAUCUUCUUUCGAUGCGAAUUCAUAAACCUAAGCAAAAGGACACUGUUCUGUUUUUAGAUGUUUUUGGAUUUUUUUUCGGCAGAUUUGAAAUGUUUUCUUUUUUAGUAUUAUAAUCCCCAAAAUUGUGAAGGAGUUUUAUGGUCAACCGCAAAGGCAAGCUUAUGUUGGAAGGGAAGCAAGACAAAGAAUGAUACACAAAUCAUGAUAAUUUUAUUUAUUUCAAUUAAACAAAUACAUGAUUGCCCCGAGAAGGAUGAAUGCUGCAAACGAAAUAGAUACUGUUACUGUAAGAUACAAUAAAUGAUUAGUAACUGUUUGAUUGCAAAA